RNAcentral lists this ribosomal RNA (246 nucleotides) under uncultured prokaryote. RNAcentral's name for it is "partial 16S ribosomal RNA". It matches the Rfam family "Bacterial small subunit ribosomal RNA", at positions 524 to 769 of the family's 1533-position model. The record is from RNAcentral.
GACGAACCGUGCGAACGUUGUUCGGAAUCACUGGGCUUAAAGGGCGCGUAGGCGGGCUUGCUAGUCCGUGGUGAAAGCCCCCGGCUUAACCGGGGAAGUGCCGUGGAUACUGCAAGCCUGGAGGAGGGUAGGGGCAUCUGGAACGCUGGGUGGAGCGGUGAAAUGCGUUGAUAUCCAGCGGAACUCCGGUGGCGAAGGCGAGGUGCUGGACCCUUUCUGACGCUGAGGCGCGAAAGCCAGGGGAGC